UCCCGUGUAGCUCAGUUGGUAGAGCAUGGUACUUGCAACACCAGGGUUGUGGGUUCGAUUCCCACGUGGGAC
Non-coding RNA from Salmo salar (Atlantic salmon), 72 nucleotides. Lineage: Eukaryota; Metazoa; Chordata; Actinopteri; Salmoniformes; Salmonidae. The record is from Rfam.